UGGGGAAUAUUGGACAACGGGCGAAAGCCUGAUCCAGCGACGCCGCGUGGGUGAUGAAGGCCUUCGGGUUGUAAAGCCCUUUCGCCGGGGACGAUGAUGACGGUACCCGGUGAGGAAGCACCGGCUAACUCCGUGCCAGCAGCCGCGGUAAGACGGAGGGUGCUAGCGUUGUUCGGAAUUACUGGGCGUAAAGGGCGCGUAGGCGGCCUGGGAAGUCGGCUUGUGAAAGCCCGGGGCUCAACCCCGGAGGUGCGGCCGAUACUCCCUGGCUGGAGGCCGGAAGAGGAGGGUGGAAUACCCAGUGUAGAGGUGAAAUUCGUAGAUAUUGGGUGGAACACCGGUGGCGAAAGCGGCUCUCUGGUCCGGACCUGACGCUGAGGCGCGAAAGCGUGGGGAGCAA
Molecule: ribosomal RNA, 400 nt
Filed under: uncultured bacterium
Lineage: Bacteria
Description: bacterial SSU rRNA
Rfam family: Bacterial small subunit ribosomal RNA
Source: RNAcentral